UGGGGAAUUUUGGACAAUGGGCGAAAGCCUGAUCCAGCAAUGCCGCGUGUGUGAAGAAGGCCUUCGGGUUGUAAAGCACUUUUGUCCGGAAAGAAAUCCUUGGCUCUAAUACAGUCGGGGGAUGACGGUACCGGAAGAAUAAGCACCGGCUAACUACGUGCCAGCAGCCGCGGUAAUACGUAGGGUGCAAGCGUUAAUCGGAAUUACUGGGCGUAAAGCGUGCGCAGGCGGUUUGCUAAGACCGAUGUGAAAUCCCCGGGCUCAACCUGGGAACUGCAUUGGUGACUGGCAGGCUAGAGUAUGGCAGAGGGGGGUAGAAUUCCACGUGUAGCAGUGAAAUGCGUAGAGAUGUGGAGGAAUACCGAUGGCGAAGGCAGCCCCCUGGGCCAAGUACUGACGCUCAUGCACGAAAAGCGUGGGGGAGCAAAACAGGAUUAGAUACCCCUGGUAGUCCACGCCCUAAAACGAUGGUCAACUAGUUGUUGGGGGAUUCAUUUCCUUAGUAACGUAGCUAACGCGUGAAGUUGACCGCCUGGGGGAGUACGGUCGCAAAGAUUAAAAACUCAAAUGAAUUGACGGGGGUCAUAGC
Molecule: ribosomal RNA, 589 nt
Filed under: uncultured bacterium
Lineage: Bacteria
Description: partial 16S ribosomal RNA
Rfam family: Bacterial small subunit ribosomal RNA
Source: RNAcentral